GAUGAAGAACGUAGUGAAAUGCGAUAAUUAAUGUGAAUUGCAGAGUUCAGUGAAUCAUCGAGUCUUUGAACGCACAUUGCGCCCCCUGGUAUUCCGGGGGGCAUGCCUGUCCGAGCGUCAUUGCUGCCCUCAAGCACGGCUUGUGUGUUGGGCUUCCGUCCCUGGCAACGGGGACGGGCCCAAAAGGCAGUGGCGGCACCAUGUCUGGUCCUCGAGCGUAUGGGGCUUUGUCACCCGCUCCCGUAGGUCCAGCUGGCAGCUAGCCUCGCAACCAAUCUUUUUAACCAGGUUGACCUCGGAUCAGGUAGGGAUACCCGCUGAACUUAAGCAUAUCAAUAAGCGGAGGA
Molecule: unclassified non-coding RNA, 347 nt
Filed under: soil metagenome
Description: partial contains 5.8S ribosomal RNA, internal transcribed spacer 2, and large subunit ribosomal RNA
Rfam family: 5.8S ribosomal RNA (bases 1-120)
Source: RNAcentral